GACGAACGCUGGCGGCGUGCUUAACACAUGCAAGUCGUACGGUAAGGCCCUUUCUGGGGUUCACGAGUGGCGCACGGGUGAGUAACACGUGAGUAACCUGCCCACAACUUUGGGAUAACGCUCGGAAACUGGUGCUAAUACUGGCUAUGUUCUCCUGCUGCAUGGUGGGGGUUGGUAAGCUCCGGCGGUUGUGGAUGGACUCAGGGCCUAUCAGCUAGUUGGUGGGGUAGUGGCCUACCAAGGCGGCGACGGGUAGCCGGCCUGAGAGGGUGACCGGCCACACUGGAACGGAGCCACGGUCCAGAGUCCUGAGGGAGGCACCAGUGGGGAAUGGUGGACAAUGGGGGGAAACCUGAUCCAGCGGGGCCGCGCGUGUGAAGAAGGUCCUCGGGUCGGAAAGCCGUUUUAGGGGGGAGAAACGGCAUUAAGUUAGUACCUUGCUUUUUUGACGGUACCAGCAGAAAAAGCACCGGCUAACUUCGUG
RNAcentral lists this ribosomal RNA (484 nucleotides) under uncultured bacterium. Its description in RNAcentral is "partial 16S ribosomal RNA". It matches the Rfam family "Bacterial small subunit ribosomal RNA", at positions 28 to 507 of the family's 1533-position model. The record is from RNAcentral.